Molecule: RNA transcript, 6702 nt
Organism: Nymphaea colorata (pocket water lily)
Lineage: Eukaryota; Viridiplantae; Streptophyta; Magnoliopsida; Nymphaeales; Nymphaeaceae
Exons: 8
Source: RefSeq, a predicted model, not a curated record
AUGCGUUCUGUGGUUUACCAUGGAACAGUGCCUCGAGGAACAUCUCAGUCUCUCCCCGUGGUCAGUCCCCCAACCCCAAGCUGCCCUCACCCUUUCUCUUUCUUUCCUUCUUCCGCUCUGCCACCCCCGAGCUGCCCCUUCUCCUCCGUCUCUGCCCCUGAGCUUCCCUAACCCUUUCUCUCCUUCUCCUUCGUCUCUACCCCCGAGCUGCCCUCGCCCUUUCUCUUUUUCUUUCUCUUUCUCUUUCUCUUUCUCAUCCAAAAGAUCUAUUCCAUCCUCACAUGCAAAUCCUCCUCACCGUCGUGGUAUGUGCCGUCGUAGUAGCCGUUCAUCCGAUUGCUGACUUCUUAGUCACGAUAACCCUUAGACUCGCCAUCUCCAUUGUCAAUUGUGUUCUGCCUUUCAUCAUUUUGAUCCCCUUGCACAUCUGUCGGCAAAAACAACCAUUCAAUUUUGUGUUACUCAGUUUCCUUAUGGUUUCCAUAAGCUUCCUCAUGGGCUUCACUUGUGCCUUCAUCAACGGAAACGUAAAGGGAUGAAAGGCGCCAUUCUACUGCAAAAACUCUAUCAAUUGGACAACCAGAGACUACACCUGUUUAGAAAGAAAGAGAUGCCUGAAAGACGAUGGCAUGGUUGGGGCAAGAAACCAGUGAGGCAGCAAGAGAAGCCCCUCGGAAUCGAGCCAUGGCAUCAACAAGAGAAGAUAAUGAAGGGUCAACCAUUGAGAUUGAAGAUCAGAAGGUGUCGCCCCCGGUGAAAGAAGUACAUGGUUAGGAUGAAAACAGUCAAAAUAAAAAAGUGAAAGGAGGCCUACCAUUACAAUCUAUGCAUGGGAGAGAUGCUUUUGGCAACUGUGGAACUUUGCCACUCAUUAAAAAUCUGAGGUACACUGCUUUCUUGUCCUUUAGAGUUGAUAGACUUCUACGCAACCUAUAACGCGCGGCGUUUGGGUGGAGCGGGUCGGGUCAGGGUCCAGACCCGGACCCUAGCCCCACGCGAGAGGAGCCCGACGCGAGGGCCCUUCUCCCUCGCGUCUCCCUUUUCUUCCUCGUCGCCUUCUUGCUUCCGUGUCGCCCGUGUGAGACCAGGAGGAGGACGAGGGAGCAGUGGCGACGCUUGAGCCGGCGGAGGAAGGAACGGCGGCGGCGUCGGUGUCGGCAGUUGGGUAAGCCCUCAACCUCUCCCUAACUCUUCCUUCUUCCUUCUUCUCCUUCUCCCUCUCCCACUGUCACUCGUCUCCUUCUCCCACUGUCACUCGUCUCCCUCUCCACCGAACGACUCUCCUCAUUCUCCACCGUCUCUCUCUUCUCUCCCGUCCUCUCCCCUCACUGCCUUCUUUUCCCCUUUUGACCGAACCCUCUCCCCAUUUUCUGCUCGUUUUCUAUUUUCUCCAAUCAAGCACUUUUUCUCACUGAUUUUUCACUAUUUCAUCACUGUUGGAUCCGUUUUCAGCUUGGGGAUUUGUCCUCCCCCUCGUAACAGCAGUUAGAGGAGGCCUUGGUAGUGGAGGCAUUGGAGGAUUUUAGCCGUUUGGGGACCACUUGGGCACGUGAGGUGGCUGCCGGGAGGAUUACAGCAGUUUAGACCUUCAAUCGGGGUGAGCAAGGCGAAAUUGAACCUAUUUUAUGAUAUAUUUUUCUUUGGAACGCGUAUAAUUAUUGUUUGAGCAUGCUAGAGCUUAGAAUUGAUUAUUUGGAACACAUGUUAGUGAUUUCGUUUUUGGGGGAAAGCUUGCGAUUAUGUUGGGAAGCGAAGAUUCAUAUUUUGGAUGAUCAUUUAAGCAUGAUAGAUUAAUUUUCGAAGCAUUAGGGGAAACAUGGUAGAGUUUGUGAGGUUGUGGGGAAGAUUUAGGACCGUUUUAGUGAGCUUGUAGCACGCGUUUUUGUGAACGGGUGCAUCUUGGAGUUAAAUAGGGAUAACGUACAUAAGUUGGAUGUAUCUUUGGGGUAGACGCCUUGAUUUAAGAAAAAAGGAGUUUUGAGAAAGGCGUUAGUGAUAGACGAAUUGAUGGCUUUGAGUUUUGGCAUCUAUUGGCACGGCUAGAAGUGGGAAGUGACCCUUUUGGAGAACUUGUGGGUUGACACUACCCGUCGACACCCUCUCGAGGCGAUGACACGUGCCUCAAUGAUUUUGUUUUGUUUUUGUUUGAAUUGUUGAGGUAUGAAGUAGGAAUCUUAUCUUGUGUUUGUGUCUGCAGGUACACCGGGUACAUCCCGUCGACCUUGAGCUACCGGAUUCGAAGCUCGAGGCAUUUUGAAGAUUCUUGUGAACGCGCCACAGGUAUGGCGACAUUCCAGGCAAAUCCCUGCCUGGGCAAGUGAAUGAAUGUGUGUUCCUAGGAUCAUGGGAUCCUAGGAUUUGUGAUAUGAAUUGAUUGAGCGUUCCGUGAAUGAAUAUGUGUAUGCAUGUACAUAAAUUGAUAUAUGAUAUGAAUUGUUUUGAAAGGCUUAUAGUAAUUGUUUUGAUAAUGUUACGCAUUUUCAUGUGCAUGUUAGAAUUGAUAACUGUUUAGGACAGAUGAGGCGGGGUAUCGAGUCGAGUGUCUCCUCGACCCCAAUUGUGCAUUAGAAAACAUUCUAGAAUGAUAACUGCAUAGGACAGCUACGAGCCCACCACAGAUUGAGACUACUCUCUGUGGUUUGGCUAAGUUUUUAAAGAUGUAAUUGUAUGAUGAUGAAUGUGAAUGUUAUGUUUAUUGAAUACCCAUUGCCGCGGGCAAUGAUGCAAAUGUUUGCACAGUGGGUAGUUGUACCCAUAUUGUUACGACGGCUAGCCAAAACUGUUGUGGUUAUGUGUAACCCUCGUGUGGAGGCAAUUGGAGGUGUGGGUUCACUCGUGAAGUGAACCAACCUCAGGAGCUAGCCAGUUAAAUGUGUUUGUGCAAGUAUAAGUAUAAGAAUGAAAGAAUAAGAGAUGAGAGGCCAGUGGGAUGUGACUAUGUAUAUGGGAGUUGUCCCGCUUUCGCCACUGGUCUCGCCUGUUCGGAGCGCAGGCGGUGCAAGGCCCCAGGGUACUGUUGUGUGAUGUGCUUGGAGCAUAGGCUCCCGCCUUCCCAACCUGGGUGUCCUAGGGAAGGCUGAGUAUCUCUCCUUGGAAUUCACAUAUCCAUGGAUGAGUGCUCUACCGCUGCAGCGGAUAGAUGGAUCCAUACUGUUCUGGGCCACCACGGGGGUUGUCUCUCGGUUGUGGGCCGCCCGCGGUGUGCACGUGCCUGUGUUUGCACCCACAGGAACUGUAAAUUCACUGAUAGUAAUGAAACUGCAAUGUAUGUGAUUGAAAUGUAUAGGAUUGUUGUGCAUGUGACUGUUGUGCUUAUGAAUGCAAGUGACAUGAUGAUGCCUUGCAUGUGAUUGAAAUUAUGUUAUUGUAGCCAUUGAGUGGCGUCUGCAUGUCGUGUCUUGACACGACAUAAUGAUAGAUUGUUCUGAUGUUUGUUUGUGUACUGAGCCCGACCUAAGAGGGCUUGGACUUUUCCUGGCUUGUUGCCAUACUGCGAAGGCUAAGCCUUCGGUUGUUUCUUUUUUUCAGGUUUUGGUGUACCCGGGGCAGCAGGCUGAGCAGAUGGCUACACUCACGUCCUACUGGGGAGAUUUUGGGUUUUGUUUUGUUCUUGUAGUGCCGGCGCGUCGGGUUUUUGGUUUUACUGAUGCCUUGUUUUUUAUUAGGCAUCGAUGUUGUGAUUUUGGGGCAUUUUUGUCAAAUGUACAAUUGAAUUGAAAUGCUAUAUAAUGGAAAGCUUGCCCCAUUGUUUUGAAUUGUUUGGCUCAUUCCUUUUUGAACUAUUGUGUAGUCACACCUCGAUGUUGGAUGUUAGAAAAAAAAUGUUUGAGUGUCAAAAAGGUCGGGGUGUGACACAACCCAUUCCAGCCAUCCUCAAUCAGAUUAGGUCUUCUUGGAUGGAAGAUGGAGGUGCCAGAGUGAUGUUUCAUAGCGUGCAAGAACAUUUGUGAUGAUGAACUAGGUAGAAGCAGCAUUCGGUUAUGGAAGAGAACUGCUCUAGAAAUGGAAAUGAAGCAGGCUGUAGUGGGGAUGCUGGUGUCUAGGUUGCCAUAGAACAAGCAGGGUCGCACAUCACUAUGACUGCUCUUAAACCUGUCCUAGACCCUUUAUCUAAAUUCUUCCAUGGUGAAGGUUAAAAGGUCGACCUCUCCAUGGCUUCCCUCACGUACCUCGAGUGGAGGAGGAAGCUGCAGAUGGCUAGGGAAGAGCAACCCUGGCCAUUAAACUUAUGUUUGGACCAUUGAUGUUGUCAUUCUAUCCAACAUCAUUUAAGCUGCACUGGGGGCAGGGGAAAUCUCCGCAAAAAGGGUGAUGAUGAACAUUAUCUCACCAAGUGGCUAGAGACGUUCAGUGCUGCGCAUGUUCUUACCACAGCUAAGGACCAAUUUUGACGAUGUUAGGCAGAGAUUUUUUCAGUCACCAGAUUUUUUUCGGAAAAGUUACCUGAGCACUUCAAGAAGGAAGGACACAUGCCCUUGCUUGAUUAUCAUGCGAAAAAGAUACUUAGAUGUCAACUUAUAAAGGAUAUGGAGUCUACUCUUGUCUUGCAAACAUCUAAAGAGGCAGCCACCUCAGAAGUUACAGAAGUAGUGAAGCAACGUGCAGAGAAUUUUUGUGUUGCAACCUUCACUUAUUAUACAACAGACAGGGGCUGGAAAUAGGAAUUAUGGUUGCAAUGUUGAGGCAGUCGUUUGUCAUUUUAGUGCACAAAUCCGAUUUCUAUGGGAAGUGAUAUAGUCUUGCAUUUCUCUUGAAUAUAAAAGUAUGGAGGAAUUAUGUAUGCCGACUACCACCACAGCAAGAAAGCAUGUCGACAAACGUUUUCGCGUGGCAGCACGGCCACUUGUCCUUGCCGCAAGCCUCCUGUUUAAUUUACUGAAUCUAAUGUUUGCAGCAGUCUUGAAUGCCAUUGGAGGAGUCACAAGGAGAAGGGGCCUUAGCUUGCUUGCGCCAAGGCAGGGCAAGUUUGGAUACGGAAGUUUCAAGCCUCGAGUGUUCAUUAAUGACUUCAACAUGACACUCAAACGAGAAAAGAGGGGUCAUCCGAGAGCAGCGCAGAAGUUAGGAGAGAGGCAGAAGCUGACCCAAAGAGAGUUUGACUGAGAGAUUGCCUUCCAUAUUCACACCUGGAGGAGGACAAGGAGCUGCUGCGGAGGUGUGCUGAGAGACGACAAAAAAAAUAUGCCCUACCGGGGCAGAAAUUUUGUCCGCGGAUCAUUGUCGGACCAGUUCAGGUCGGACAGAAAAUCGCGGACAAAGGUUCAGUUACACAAACUUGACUCAGUUAAGCUCGAUAGGCUCAUUUUUAGAGGUUUUCUUUUAGGGAUGCUUAUAGAUAAUAUCACCCCAAGGAAUGAGGGUUUUUGGAAAAUCCACCUUCAUUUGCCUUGAUCUCUCGUGGAGCUCUAUCGCCGAAAGCGAUAGGGAGAGUGAGAGAAAGAGUCUACAUGUCAAUCUUCUUCGAUUCUUUGGAGAUAUAAAGUCAAUAAGGCCUGACAUUAAAGGACGGAACCAAAAAAAUUUCACUAAGGCUAAAAUAUCAUUUUUUUUUUAAUUUUUAUAUAAAACAAGUGAAAUUGUUUAAAAAUUUAUAUGUAAUUUCUUUCCCUGACGAAACCAGAAAUUUUUCACAAAUUUUUACUAAAGCUAAAAUAUCAAUUUUUAAAAUUUUUAUAUAAAACAAGUUAAAUUGUUUAAAAAUUUAUAUGUAAUUUUUUAAAAAAAAAUUAAGGUGGAGCCCCAAACCCUACCGUGGCUUUGCCCCUGACAAUGAAGGGGCUUUUUUUGCUGGAAAAACCCCAGUCCAUGGUGACUUUGAGGGCUGGAGACAGGAAGCUCCAAUGAGGUGGAGGUCGACGAGUGGUAUAACUCCCUUAGCCGAUCUGUGUAUAUGGAAGCUUUGGCAACAGCUAGCCCUCCUGCUCGAGCAAGUCCUUGCGCUGGCGGUUCUCCACAUGUUGAGGGUCCAACGAUUGAACAACAAACCCGGAGUUGGGGUCCUGCAGAGGGCGAACCGCAAUAUGUGUGAAGGCUAGAUCGCCGGAAAGGACGUCGGUCUCGGGUUCCGGUUGUGGGUCGGGUGCUCUUCUUCUUCUUCUGCAGGGAGGGAGAGAGAGAGGAUGCCGCCGCCGGAGAAGGCGACGGAGGAUCGAAGCGAGGAGGGUGGGGACCGUGGGAGGUUAUGGAAGGUCCUUCUUUUUGGUACUAUCGGAGCCACCGUUGCCACCACCUUCGCGGUUGCACAAUUGCGGCAGACAAUGACUUGGUUCUCUAAUCAGCUGAGCAGGUCGCCUUUAUAUGAAUCAUGGCGGAGUGCUAUUAGUGGCUUCAGUCCUAGAAGUUUCAGAGAAGAAGCUUGGAAAAAAACUAGCCGCCGCAUGCAAGAAGAGUAUGAAGAUGAAAUGGAAAGAGUGGAAAGAAUAAGACGAAUGCAAAGUGUUUUCAAUUGAGAAAGAAAUAAAUAUAAGAGAAGCUAUGAGAGCUGGAAAGAUAGUGGCCCAGGGGCUUAUCAACAAUUUCAGCGGGAUUAUUGGUAUUGGAAGACUGACACGACCUACAAACACCAAAGAACCAAUUCAGGAGCUGCUCGCAGGGAAAGCGGAAUUCAUGCAUUGUCACACCAUUACUCUAUUUUGGGCCUUGAUAGGUUUAGGGCAAAGCCUUGCACAGAGGAGGAGAUUAAGGUAUUUAAGCUCAUUUCUU